RNAcentral lists this transfer RNA (73 nucleotides) under Lachnospiraceae bacterium. RNAcentral describes it as "tRNA-Arg". It matches the Rfam family "tRNA". Rfam says of the family: Transfer RNA (tRNA) molecules are approximately 80 nucleotides in length. Lineage: Bacteria; Bacillati; Bacillota; Clostridia; Lachnospirales; Lachnospiraceae. The record is from RNAcentral. RNAcentral also lists the same sequence under 1 other name.
GCACUCGUAGCUCAGUGGAUAGAGCAGCGGAUUCCGGUUCCGCGUGUCGGGGGUUCGAAUCCUCUCGGGUGCA